GAUAGCCUUCUCUGCCUCCCGUUGCUAACGCUUCGGACCCCUCAUCUGAAAUGCGUCGUUUGUAACGAUGAUGAAACAUACCUACAACAAAUUACCAAAGCGAUACUUGGUGAUUUGCAACAAUAAUAUGUUCUUGCGAAAUAAUUAUUGACUAUCAGUCGUUUUCGCGCUUUAGCGGUUGGAAAGUUCUGAAAAAGCGCAAAAGACCAGGAACUUCAGAAGACUUUGCGACACAGACACAGUCGCUUUGCGUUCAACUGUUCAAGCCGGGAGUCCGGUCGAGCUUGAAAGUGUAUAUGCAAUACAUUUUAGACUUCUCUCUCGACUCUGGGAUUUGUGCGCUUGGGAAGCUUGAUUUAAAAUAAACAUUGUUCUUGGUUAUGUUUUUUCGUGGUGGGCACCUUCAUGCGCUAAGGAAAUGGUAUUUCUUUAACAUAACCCUGUUUUUAUUUUUGACAAUGGAGAACAAAUGAGAGGGGCAUUUCCCGGGAUUAAUUGACAGCACAUCGACAGAAUGCGGGAGAGAGACCUACGGAGCGUGUGCAGAAGGGUGCUGCUGUUGGCUGUCUGUGUGGUGUCCCUCUGGGGGCAGCUGACUCUGGCGUCCUCACACAGAAGUCACAUAGUACAUGUCAAAGCAGGAACCUGUGAAGUGAUCGCUGCCCACCGCUGCUGCAACAAGAACAAGAUCGAGGAGAGAUCACAGACGGUCAAAUGCUCCUGCUUCCCCGGACAGGUUGCCGGGACAACAAGGGCGGCCCCGUCUUGCGUGGAUGCAUCCAUAGUUGCUCAGAAGUGGUGGUGCCAGAUGCACCCAUGUAUGGAUGGCGAGGAGUGUAAAGUCUUGCCUGAUCUGAAAGGCUGGAGCUGCAGUACGGGAAACAAAGUAAAGACGACGAAGGUGGGUGCAUAAUUUUUCGAGCUCCAGUGAAGGCGGUGGAAUGAGAUCUUUGAUGACUCUUUCAGCUGCCACAAAGCAGCACAGAGACAAGACAGAGACACGUCACACGAUAGUGCUGUGUCGUGGAUCUGAAGGCAUGGCAACUGUCAUCUCUUCCUUGACAGAAACCUUAAGGACUUCUUGGAUGUGAGGACUAUGUUUUGAAGGAUUGUGGGAAGGAACUUGGAAUAGUAGGGGGGAUUUAAAAAAGAAAGAAAAUGAAAAAUGGACAUUCCAUUGAAUGGAUGCAGAGCAGAGACUUAACUUGAAGAUCCCAUAGAACCACCUAUCCAGACUACUGGACUACUGAUUAGAUCAACUUCCUAGACGUUAUUGUACCAACCACCAAAUUCCUGUAGGAGAUUCAAACCUGCAAGAUAUUUAUUCAGUGAAAAGACAAACUGUGGAUUACGCAAGCAAGAUAAACCUUAAUACGAAUCAUGUGACGUGACAUUUUCAAAUCCUUCUCCUUUUUUUGCCACAUGGAGCUCAGUGACUCCAAAACAACAUGUCUGUGUUCGAGAACAAUUUAGAUCAUAAGCAUUUCCAUUCCUUUUAAGCCUUAUGAAGCAGACAUCUCUUCCUUUUAAGGUUUUUUGAUUUACAAAAAAAAAAUAUGUAUUACGUGUUUGGUUUUAGUAAUUCUGUUGGACUAUCAGGUCUGCUUUUGAUGACUUGAGACAUCAAAGGACAUGCUACAGUACUUAUGAGUAUGUUGCAGUGUUUGAAUUUAGGCACCAUGGUUUCACCAAGCCAAUUGAAAUGACAUAAGCUGAGCUCCAACUGUUUUAAUAUCUGUUUUUAAAAGCCUGGUGACCAACAUUGAGUAAAAGUGUCAGUAUUAUCUCAAUAAAACCUAUUUCAAGAGGAUA
RNA transcript from Esox lucius (northern pike), 1812 nucleotides. It is a transcript of the gene named chemokine-like protein TAFA-2, with no coding region annotated. The transcript is spliced from 6 exons. NCBI's taxonomy places the organism in Eukaryota, Metazoa, Chordata, Actinopteri, Esociformes, Esocidae. The record is from RefSeq and is a predicted model, not a curated record.